RNAcentral lists this ribosomal RNA (433 nucleotides) under uncultured bacterium. RNAcentral describes it as "partial 16S ribosomal RNA". It matches the Rfam family "Bacterial small subunit ribosomal RNA", at positions 29 to 507 of the family's 1533-position model. The record is from RNAcentral.
AACGAACGCUGGCGGCAUGCCUAACACAUGCAAGUCGAACGAGACCUUCGGGUCUAGUGGCGCACGGGUGCGUAACGCGUGGGAACCUGCCCUUAGGUUCGGAAUAACUCCCCGAAAGGGGUGCUAAUACCGGAUAAUGUCUUCGGACCAAAGAUUUAUCGCCUUUGGAUGGGCCCGCGUUGGAUUAGCUAGUUGGUAGGGUAAAAGCCUACCAAGGCGACGAUCCAUAGCUGGUCUGAGAGGUUGAUCAGCCACACUGGGACUGAGACACGGCCCAGACUCCUACGGGAGGCAGCAGUGGGGAAUAUUGGACAAUGGGCGAAAGCCUGAUCCAGCAAUGCCGCGUGAGUGAUGAAGGCCUUAGGGUUGUAAAGCUCUUUUACCCGGGAUGAUAAUGACAGUACCGGGAGAAUAAGCACCGGCUAACUCCGUG